Molecule: ribosomal RNA, 825 nt
Filed under: Acinetobacter baumannii
Lineage: Bacteria; Pseudomonadati; Pseudomonadota; Gammaproteobacteria; Moraxellales; Moraxellaceae
Description: partial 23S ribosomal RNA
Rfam family: Bacterial large subunit ribosomal RNA
Source: RNAcentral
GCAGCUUGACACUGAACUUUGACCUUACUUGUGUAGGAUAGGUGGGAGGCUUUGAAGCUGGAACGCUAGUUCCAGUGGAGCCGUCCUUGAAAUACCACCCUGGUAAUGUUGAGGUUCUAACUCUGUCCCGUGAUCCGGGACGAGGACCGUGUCUGGUGGGUAGUUUGACUGGGGCGGUCUCCUCCUAAAGAGUAACGGAGGAGUACGAAGGUGCGCUCAGCGUGGUCGGAAAUCACGCGUAGAGUAUAAAGGCAAAAGCGCGCUUAACUGCGAGACCCACAAGUCGAGCAGGUACGAAAGUAGGUCUUAGUGAUCCGGUGGUUCUGUAUGGAAGGGCCAUCGCUCAACGGAUAAAAGGUACUCUGGGGAUAACAGGCUGAUACCGCCCAAGAGUUCAUAUCGACGGCGGUGUUUGGCACCUCGAUGUCGGCUCAUCUCAUCCUGGGGCUGAAGCAGGUCCCAAGGGUAUGGCUGUUCGCCAUUUAAAGAGGUACGCGAGCUGGGUUUAGAACGUCGUGAGACAGUUCGGUCCCUAUCUACCGUGGGCGCUGGAAAUUUGAGAGGAUCUGCUCCUAGUACGAGAGGACCAGAGUGGACGAACCUCUGGUGUACCGGUUGUGACGCCAGUCGCAUCGCCGGGUAGCUAUGUUCGGAAGGGAUAACCGCUGAAAGCAUCUAAGCGGGAAGCCUACCUCAAGAUAAGAUUUCCCUAGGACUUUAUGUCCUCUAAAGAGCCGUUCGAGACUAGGACGUUGAUAGGUUGGAUGUGGAAGCAUAGUGAUAUGUGAAGCUGACCAAUACUAAUUGCUCGUGAGGCUUGACUAU